UACAGAGGUCUCAAGCGUUGUUCGGAUUCAUUGGGCGUAAAGGGUGUGUAGGUGGCGCCGUAAGUCGGGUGUGAAAUUUCGGAGCUUAACUCCGAAACUGCAUUCGAUACUGCGGUGCUUGAGGACUGGAGAGGAGACUGGAAUUCCUGGUGUAGCAGUGAAAUGCGUAGAUAUCAGGAGGAACACCGAUGGCGAAGGCAGGUCUCUGGGCUGACACUGACGCUCAUGCACGAAAGCGUGGGGAGCAAACAGG
Molecule: ribosomal RNA, 253 nt
Filed under: uncultured bacterium
Lineage: Bacteria
Description: partial 16S ribosomal RNA
Rfam family: Bacterial small subunit ribosomal RNA
Source: RNAcentral